CGUGCUUAAUACAUGCAAGUCAACUUGACUUUAGAUAGCAAUAUCGAAAGUAGGGUGGCGCACGGGUGCGUAACGCGUAGGUAAUCUGCCCUGAGGUCUGACAUAACCCGUCGAAAGGCGGGCUAACAUCAGAUGAUAUAUAAUCACGACAUCGUGGAAAUAUCAAAUCUUCGGAGCCUUGGGAUGAGCCUGCGUCUGAUUAGGUAGUUGGCGGAGUAAUAGCCCACCAAGCCUACGAUCAGUAGCUGGUCUGAGAGGAUGAUCAGCCACACUGGAACUGAGACACGGUCCAGACUCCUACGGGAGGCAGCAGUAAGGAAUAUUGCUCAAUGGGGGAAACCCUGAAGCAGCAACGCCGCGUGAAGGAUGAAAUACUUUCGUAUGUAAACUUCUGUAAGAUGGGAAAAAUAUUCUCCUCGGGAGAAUUGAUUGUACCAUCAGAGUAAGCCCCGGCUAACUACGUG
Molecule: ribosomal RNA, 464 nt
Filed under: uncultured bacterium
Lineage: Bacteria
Description: bacterial SSU rRNA
Rfam family: Bacterial small subunit ribosomal RNA
Source: RNAcentral